RNAcentral lists this ribosomal RNA (255 nucleotides) under uncultured bacterium. RNAcentral describes it as "partial 16S ribosomal RNA". It matches the Rfam family "Bacterial small subunit ribosomal RNA", at positions 335 to 586 of the family's 1533-position model. The record is from RNAcentral.
AGUCCUACGGGGCGCAGCAGUGAGGAAUAUUGGUCAAUGGGCGGAAGCCUGAACCAGCCAAGUCGCGUGAGGGAAUAAGGCCCUACGGGUCGUAAACCUCUUUUGCCGGGGAGCAAGGGCGGGGACGUGUCCCGGCCCGGAGAGUACCCGGAGAAAAAGCAUCGGCUAACUCCGUGCCAGCAGCCGCGGUAAUACGGAGGGGGCAAGCGUUGUUCGGAAUUACUGGGCGUAAAGGGUGUGUAGGCGGGGAAGAAA